Molecule: ribosomal RNA, 301 nt
Filed under: uncultured bacterium
Lineage: Bacteria
Description: partial 16S ribosomal RNA
Rfam family: Bacterial small subunit ribosomal RNA
Source: RNAcentral
CAGUCGCCACGGUAAUACAGAGGAUGCAAGCGUUAUCCGGAAUGAUUGGGCGUAAAGCGUCUGUAGGUGGCUUUUGAGAUCCGCCGUCAAAUCCCAGGGCUCAACCCUGGACAGGCGGUGGAAACUACCAGGCUGGAGUACGGUAGGGGCAGAUGGAAUUUCCGGUGGAGCAGUGAAAUGCGUUGAGAUCGGAAAGAACACCAACGGCGAAAGCACUCUGCUGGGCCGACACUGACACUGAGAGACGAAAUCUAGGGGAGCAAAUGGGAUUAGAUACCCCCGUAGUCCCUGUCUCUUAUAA